RNAcentral lists this ribosomal RNA (495 nucleotides) under uncultured Bacteroidota bacterium. RNAcentral describes it as "bacterial SSU rRNA". It matches the Rfam family "Bacterial small subunit ribosomal RNA", at positions 359 to 852 of the family's 1533-position model. The record is from RNAcentral. Lineage: Bacteria; Pseudomonadati; Bacteroidota.
GAAUAUUGGUCAAUGGGCGGAAGCCUGAACCAGCCAUGCCGCGUGCGGGAAGGAGGCCCUAUGGGCUGUGAAACCGCUUUUGCCUGGGGGCAAUAAGGGCGUCGUGCACGUCCGAUGAGAGUACCAGGCGAAUAAGCAUCAGCUAACUCCGUGCCAGCAGCCGCGGUAAUACGGGGGAUGCGAGCGUUAUCCGGAUUCAUUGGGUUUAAAGGGUGCGUAGGCUGUGCGUCAAGUCAGGGGUGAAAUUCCGGGGCUCAACUCCGGGGCUGCCCUUGAUACUGUCGCGCUGGAGUGCGGAUGCCGCCGGAGGAAUGAGUGGUGUAGCGGUGAAAUGCUUAGAUAUCACUCAGAACACCGAUUGCGAAGGCAUCUGGCGAAUCCGUAACUGACGCUGAGGCACGAAAGCGUGGGGAUAGAACAGGAUUAGAUACCCUGGUAUUCCACGCCGUAAACGAUGAUGGCUAACCGCCGGCGACACACUGUCGGUGGCCAAGC